AGAGUUUGAUCCUGGCUCAGGAUGAACGCUNGCGGCAGGCCUAAUACAUGCAAGUCGAGCGGUGGUAGUAAUACCAUAGCGGCAAACGGGUGCGUAACACGUACACAACAUGCCUUCAAGAGGAGGAUACACUUGGGAAACUGAGGACAAUACUCCAUAGCAUAACAACUUGGCAUCAAGGAGUUAUUAAAGCUACGGCGCUUGAAGAUUGGUGUGCGUCCUAUUAGCUAGUUGGUAGGGUAACGGCCUACCAAGGCUACGAUAGGUAGGGGAUGUGAGAGCAUGGUCCCCCACACGGGCACUGAGACACGGGCCCGACUCCUACGGGAGGCAGCAGUAAGGAAUAUUGGUCAAUGGAGGGAACUCUGAACCAGCCAUGCCGCGUGCAGGAAGAAGGUCCUCUGGAUUGUAAACUGCUUUUAUAAGAGACGAAAAAGCGAGAUUUAUCUUGUGUUGACGGUAUCUUGUGAAUAAGCACCGGCUAACUCCGUGCCAGCAGCCGCGGUAAUACGGAGGGUGCAAGCGUUAUCCGGAAUCACUGGGUUUAAAGGGUGCGUAGGCGGUCAAAUAAGUCAGUAUUGAAAGCUCCGGGCUCAACUCGGGAACUGGUAUUGAUACUGUUUGGCUGGAGUACGGGAGAGGUAGGCGGAAUGCGACAUGUAGCGGUGAAAUGCAUAGAUAUGUCGUAGAACACCGAUUGCGAAGGCAGCCUACUAAACCGGCACUGACGCUGAGGCACGAAAGCGUGGGGAUCAAACAGGAUUAGAUACCCCGGUAGU
RNAcentral lists this ribosomal RNA (779 nucleotides) under uncultured bacterium. RNAcentral describes it as "bacterial SSU rRNA". It matches the Rfam family "Bacterial small subunit ribosomal RNA", at positions 8 to 794 of the family's 1533-position model. The record is from RNAcentral.